This 387-nucleotide ribosomal RNA is filed under the name uncultured bacterium. RNAcentral's name for it is "bacterial SSU rRNA". It matches the Rfam family "Bacterial small subunit ribosomal RNA", at positions 28 to 416 of the family's 1533-position model. The record is from RNAcentral.
GACGAACGCUGGCGGCGUGCUUAACACAUGCAAGUCGAGCGGUAAGGCCCUUUCGGGGGUACACGAGCGGCGAACGGGUGAGUAACACGUGGGUGACCUGCCCUCAGCUCUGGGAUAAGCCUGGGAAACUGGGUCUAAUACUGGAUAUGACUCCACGGUGCAUGUCGUGGGGUGGAAAGCCUUGUGCGGCUGAGGAUGGGCCCGCGGCCUAUCAGCUUGUUGGUGGGGUGAUGGCCUACCAAGGCGACGACGGGUAGCCGGCCUGAGAGGGCGACCGGCCACACUGGGACUGAGACACGGCCCAGACUCCUACGGGAGGCAGCAGUGGGGAAUCUUGCGCAAUGGGCGAAAGCCUGACGCAGCGACGCCGCGUGAGGGAUGACGGCC